Molecule: ribosomal RNA, 340 nt
Filed under: uncultured Bacillota bacterium
Lineage: Bacteria; Bacillati; Bacillota
Description: bacterial SSU rRNA
Rfam family: Bacterial small subunit ribosomal RNA
Source: RNAcentral
GAUGAACGCUGGCGGCGUGCCUAACACAUGCAAGUCGAGCGGUAUAUGCUGGAACGAAACUUCGGUCUAGAGAAGGCAUAGAGAGCGGCGGACGGGUGAGUAACGCGUAGGCAACCUGCCCCAUACAGAGGGAUAGCCUCGGGAAACCGGGAUUAAAACCUCAUGACACGAGAGAUUCACAUGGACCUUUCGUCAAAGAUUCAUCGGUAUGGGAUGGGCCUGCGUCUGAUUAGCUAGUUGGUGAGGUAACGGCUCACCAAGGCGACGAUCAGUAGCCGACCUGAGAGGGUAAUCGGCCACAUUGGAACUGAGACACGGUCCAAACACCUACGGGUGGCUG